Non-coding RNA from Phalacrocorax carbo (great cormorant), 4202 nucleotides. NCBI's taxonomy places the organism in Eukaryota, Metazoa, Chordata, Aves, Suliformes, Phalacrocoracidae. The record is from RefSeq and is a predicted model, not a curated record.
GGGAGGGCAGAAGUUGGGAAGGCGGCUCCCCCCUCCCCACCCCUCCCGAGCCGGGACCCGGUGGAAACGCUCCCACUCUGCGCCUCCUUCCAGCGCUCCCCAGGCCUUUAUACGGCCGCCCCGGCAUCACGUGCCGCCGCCGCAGGCCCCUCGGGGCACGGCGAGGGGCUGCCUGGCCCGGCCCGGGUCCCCGGGAGUGCGGGCCCCCGCCUCCGGCGGUGAUGCUUUCGAGGAAAGGCGCUGCCCGCUCCCCCGGCGCUUAGAUGCCCCCGGCUACGCCUGGAGCCGGCUGGUGCGAGAGCGGGGGGUCGGCUCUGGAUAAAGCCCACUUCCACGCCCCCCCGCCCCAAGCACCCCGCGGUGCCGGAGGCUCGCAGGGCUCGUUCCUAUCGGAUGCAACGGCCCCCUCCCUCCGCCCGGGGGCCACGGAGGGUCCCCUGUCCCCACGCGGGCUGCCCGCCCACGGGGCUGAGGGCUGAGCUGCCGCCCUCCGGCAGCCUGGCUGGCGGGGACCCUAGCUCCACCAGGGCCGAGCCCCCCGGGACCUCCGGGGGGAGGGGGAGUGAAUUUGGGAUCCCUGCUCCCCUUCUGCACACGCUCACGUCACCGACACGUCACCGAGGCCGGAGUACCCCGCCUGGAAACCCGACUUCCCCGAGGGCUCCCACGGGCCGGCACCCGCGGAGGGGAUGCUGCCGCCCAGCAGGUGCGGGGCGGAAGGCGGGGAGCAACGCUCAGUCAAGCUCCCCCCCCUCCCCCCCGCAAGAAAGAACCAAAGGGAAGACGGUGCGUGUCCGCGGGGUGCUGGGACGGCUCCCGCAUCCCGGCCCGGCGGGUACCACUUUCCGAGGUGGUCCGCCCGUAGCCCGGCCAGGCCGCAGGACCCCUCCGGGACACGGGGAAUCUCCUCCGGCCUGGGGACGGCCCGCCCGCCGCGCCCCCGCCAGCGCUGCCUCGAGGCGCAGCAUCCCCCGACGGCUGGCAGGGAGGGGGUGGGGGGCAGCGGACACCCACCUUGCCGCGGGCUACAGCCGCAGCAGGAGGAUUUCCCUGUAACCAGAGGCACCCUAGGCCCCCGCGGAGCCACAACGGUGUCCCCACGGGUGGCAGAGCCCCGCUCGCCCGCCUGCGGCCGCGCUUCCCCAGGGCAAGGCCGGGGCGGCCACCCCGGUGGAGGGCGGGGGACACGGACACGGGUGCAGCCGCCCACCCCGCGCCCCGUGGGUGGCUGUAGCAGCCCGGUGUCCCUGUCUCUGCCGCGGACACACCGAGCCACGCUCGCACGUUUUUUCGGUUGGGGUGGGCUUUUUUGUUUGUUGGUUGGUUUUUGGGUUUUGGUUUGGUUUUUUUUUCUUCCCUUAGAAGCUCUGCAAACCCGCAGCCUCUUUCCCGGGGGAAGGAUGCCCGGGGAGGAAGGAAGGGGAUGAUUUACUCCAAGGGGGUGCCAGGGGGAGAUCUCCCCCUCCUCCAGGGCCGCGUUCAGCAGUGUGAGAAUCCGCGGUGAUGAAUUGCCAGUCGCUGCCGUUAACAGACUCGCCGGGCUCGGGGGGACCCCGAGGAGCGGGCAGGAGCGGCCGGCGCUUCGCCCGCACAUCUCCGGGUGAAGCGGCUGCUGCAGAGCCGGAGCCUCUGCGCGGACUCGGUCGCAUCUUCCUCCCUCGCCGCCAACGCUGCGAUCGGGGAGGAAGAUGCGACCGGAGGGAAAAAUAGAUGAAUAACUGUGCUGAGAAUUGCUCAGGAAGGUGACUUCCAGCCUGUCCCGCAGGCAUGCGUCAGGGCUGGGAGAGCUUUCCUGACCUCUUUCACUUUUAUAUUCCUCCGAUGCUGAUAACCUUGCGUUUGAGACACAUACGCAUACAUCUCCCUCUCGUAUGUAUGGGGGUGUGUGUAUAUAUAUAUUCAGCUAUAGAUAUAUUCAUAUUUUUUCUUAUUUUUCUUUUAUAAUAUAAUUAGCUAACACGGAGAAAUGCUUCCGAGACGCCGCAUCUUUCCUACCGACUUGGUUUAAACUCUCCGUUCAUCAGCCCCGCGGAAAGGCGACGGGAAGGACAAAUGGAAGAGAGCGGAGAGGGAAAAGACCCGAGCCGCUUUCCAUUUUUAUUAAGUAAAAUAAUAGUUAUGCCUCCCCUACAUAAACGAAAGUGUCAUAAAAAAUUCCGAAGCAGCUGCCAGAGAUUUCGACCACACACACAACGGGGCGAUUGAAUUUCCACUUGGUGCAUUUCAUGGCAGCGAGGAACCGCCGGGAGCUGCGCCUUGUGCCUGUGCAGGGCGGCGAGGGGAGGGCGGGCGGGGGGGGGACCCGGGCAAACGGCGCGCUGCGAGCGGCCGAGGGCAGCGGGCACCGCCCGGGGGAUGCCCCGCCGCCCCCCGCGCCCCCGGCCGCCCUGCCUGCGGGCUGCUCCCGCACGGCUCGAAGUGAAACAGAUGUGGGUGUCCGCUGCCCGGCCCCCCCCGCCCUGCCCCGGCUGCCGCCUCUGCCCCUGCCUGCCGGGGCGGGCAGCGCCGGGCAGCCCGCGGGGGGAACCCCCGGCCACGGCGGGCUCGGGUGGAGCCGUUUAUCGCUGGAUUCAUGGGCAUCGGGCCCCCGAUGGGCCCGAAAUUGGAGGGGGGGCAGGCGAGGAGGGUCGAUCCGAGGCGGCUGUCGGUGGGCUGCGGCCGGAGCCCUGUCCCGCUCCCGCCUGGACCUCCCCCCUCGGCACCGUGCACCCGGAGCCGCCGGAGCUCGAGAACCAGCGUGUCCCCGUCAGCCACCACCGGCACCAUUCCUGCCUGUUUCAAGGCAAAAUAUCGUCCCCAUUAAAGCAGGGAACGACCCAAAAAGAGACGACCAUGAAUGAGACCCGGUCCCUCCGUCUGCGAGCGGCUCCCGUUCGCCGAGCCGGUAUUAGCUUCAGCUUUGCCACGCAAGACCGGCUGCAGAAACAAAUCAAAACGAGAAAAAGUACCCAAACUACACCCGUCCCGAAAAGAUUUAGAAAAGGGAAACCCGGGAGUGAAGCAAACCAGAUGGUCGGAGCCCAGACACGUACAUAGGCGCACACACGCUCCCGGCCGUGCAUCCACACGCGGAGCCAGGGCAUCUAAAUUCGUUUAUUCUGAUGAGAGCCGCAUCUACAAGUCCCCCAAGGCUCAGUGAUGGAUUUUUCUGUAUUACCUCGUUAUCAAGCUUGGCUGACCUCUAACUUCUCUGAAAACAUGAACAAGACAGACCUGCUGCUGCCUGGGCUGCCCCAGGGGGCUCUUUUUCCACUUAUGUGAUUUCCUUUGAUAUUAUUUCUCUUCUUUCCAUAUCCAAGGCUCAGACCUUCAGUGCUCCCUGCAGUUCAACCUUUUUUCCAGCCCUGUACUGCCAGCUCCCAGCUUGCAAAGAUCAGUUUGCAGCCUGCACAUCAAGAACUCCCAGCUCAGGGAGGUUAAGUGGGAAUGGUGGUGCCGGAUAGUGCGAGAUGCGUGGAAUUCCCAGUUUGGAAACCACGGGAGCCAAGUGCCUAUACCCAUCCCUGCAGCGCUCAGAUGUCGGACGCCUUGGGUUUGCGGACUUGGAUUUUCAAAUGCAGGUGUCCCAAAAUCCACACCAAAAAAGGCCUGGAUUUCAAGGGAGGGCUUUCCCAGGCACCCCUCGUGCAGGACUGAACACCCAUGAAUCUCUGAAGAGCAAGUCUCUCCGUCUUUCCUGCUCUUCCUUUCCUUUCCAUAUGCACACAUUUAUUUAGGUGCUGUGUCACGACUUUAGGACCUUGGCUUUGGACUUGCAGUUCAAAAACUUUGUCUGCUGCUCUCUAUUCAUAACUGAUCCCAUCCCACAUAGAUUUGAAGCCCACCAGGCAAGCUCAUACACAGCAUAACAGCCAACCAAUAAACUCUGGCUUGGUAUAAGCUUUUUUUAUGUACUGUUCUUCAGCAACCUGACAUGAAAAGAGAUGGGUACUCUCACACACUUACAUGACUCAGAGGAUCGAAGUGAUUUCAAGCCAUAAACCACCAGGUGCACUUUUGAGACUCACCAAAGCCAGCCCUCCUGGUUGCCAUAAAAAACACAUUAGCCAAAGGCUGAUGCAUGUGGAAGGCAAUUAUGCACUGGCCCAUGGCAAUAUGCAUAGAACAGCCUGGUAACUGUGCCUACUAUGCAAGGAAAAAUAUGCUGUGAAAACAAGACUGCUAAAUCACUUCAUUCUUCCCUGAAUCCCCUGAAAAUAAGA